Molecule: unclassified non-coding RNA, 158 nt
Filed under: uncultured Ascomycota
Lineage: Eukaryota; Fungi; Ascomycota
Description: sequence contains ITS2
Source: RNAcentral
CACCCCUCAAGCCUCGCUUGGAGUUGGGCGGCGCCUUUAACGAGGCGUCCCCGAAAGACAGCGGCGGGGCGGCCGAAGCCCGGAGCACGUUGAAAUUUUUCGAAAUUAUUGCCCCGAGGACUCGAGCCGUCUCUGCCGGACGACCACACACACAUCAC